RNAcentral lists this ribosomal RNA (433 nucleotides) under uncultured bacterium. Its description in RNAcentral is "partial 16S ribosomal RNA". It matches the Rfam family "Bacterial small subunit ribosomal RNA", at positions 28 to 507 of the family's 1533-position model. The record is from RNAcentral.
GACGAACGCUGGCGGCAUGCCUAACACAUGCAAGUCGAACGAAACCUUCUGGUUUAGUGGCUCACGGGUGCGUAACGCGUUGGAACCUGCGCUUAGGUUACGAAUAACUCCUCGCCAGGGGUUCUAAAUCCGGCUAAUGUCUUCGGACCAAAGCUUUAUCGCCUUUGAGUGUGCUGGCGUUGGAAUAGCUCGUUGGUAGGGUAAAAGCCUACCAGGGCGAGGAUCAUUAGCUGGUCUGAGAGGUUGAUCAGCCACACUGGGACUGAGAGACGGCAGCGGCUCCGACGGGAGGACGCAGUGGGGAAUAUUGGACAAGGGGCGCAAGGCUGAUCAUGCCAUGCCGCGUGAUGGAUGAAGGCCUUAGGGUUGUGAAGCUCUCUUAGCCGGGAUGAUAAUGACGGUACCGGGAGAAUAAGCACCGGCUAACUACGUG